AGCAACGCGCAGAACCUUACCAGCCCUUGACAUGGUCACGACCGGUCCAGAGAUGGACUUUCCCCGCAAGGGCGUGAUGCACAGGUGCUGCAUGGCUGUCGUCAGCUCGUGUCGUGAGAUGUUGGGUUAAGUCCCGCAACGAGCGCAACCCUCGCCUUUAGUUGCCAGCAUGUUUGGGUGGGCACUCUAGAGGAACUGCCGGUGACAAGCCGGAGGAAGGUGGGGAUGACGUCAAGUCCUCAUGGCCCUUAUGGGCUGGGCUACACACGUGCUACAAUGGCGGUGACAAUGGGAAGCCAUGUCGCAAGGCAGAGCCGAUCCCAAAAAGCCGUCUCAGUUCAGAUCGCAGCCUGCAACUCGGCUGCGUGAAG
RNAcentral lists this ribosomal RNA (371 nucleotides) under unidentified activated sludge bacterium AI353. Its description in RNAcentral is "bacterial SSU rRNA". It matches the Rfam family "Bacterial small subunit ribosomal RNA", at positions 955 to 1325 of the family's 1533-position model. The record is from RNAcentral.